UUAAAUAGGGUUUAACCCUAAUUAAUGAAGUGGGGGGGGGGGUGCUAGAUUUGUAUAAUUGACAAGAACACAAACACACAGUGAGUGUGUGAGAAUCAAGAUUCAAGUAAUGAACUAAACCCAGAUGAGGGAAUCAAUUAUCAACAAAAAGGAAGAAUCUUUAUGUGAGUGUGUGAGAAUCAAGAUUCAAGUACUGAACUAAACCCAGAUGGGGGAAUCAAUUAUCAACAAAAAGGAAGAAUCUUUAUGGUAUAAUAAAGAAAACCCAGAUGAUUAAAUAGGGUUUAACCCUAAUUAAUGAAGUGG
This 306-nucleotide long non-coding RNA is filed under the name Helianthus annuus (common sunflower). RNAcentral describes it as "hypothetical non coding rna". The record is from RNAcentral. Lineage: Eukaryota; Viridiplantae; Streptophyta; Magnoliopsida; Asterales; Asteraceae.